RNAcentral lists this ribosomal RNA (540 nucleotides) under uncultured bacterium. RNAcentral's name for it is "bacterial SSU rRNA". It matches the Rfam family "Bacterial small subunit ribosomal RNA", at positions 464 to 1005 of the family's 1533-position model. The record is from RNAcentral.
AGAAAUUGACGGUACCUGCAGAGAAAGCGCCGGCUAACUACGUGCCAGCAGCCGCGGUAAUACGUAGGGCGCGAGCGUUGUCCGGAAUUAUUGGGCGUAAAGAGCUUGUAGGCGGUUUGUCGCGUCUGCUGUGAAAGGCCGGGGCUUAACCCCGUGUAUUGCAGUGGGUACGGGCAGACUAGAGUGCAGUAGGGGAGACUGGAACUCCUGGUGUAGCGGUGGAAUGCGCAGAUAUCAGGAAGAACACCGAUGGCGAAGGCAGGUCUCUGGGCUGUAACUGACGCUGAGAAGCGAAAGCAUGGGGAGCGAACAGGAUUAGAUACCCUGGUAGUCCAUGCCGUAAACGUUGGGCACUAGGUGUGGGGGACAUUCCACGUUUUCCGCGCCGUAGCUAACGCAUUAAGUGCCCCGCUGGGGAUACGGCCGCAAGGCUAAAACUCAAAGGAUUGACGGGGCCCGCACAAGCGGCGGAGCAUGCGGAUUAAUUCGAUGCAACGCGAAGAACCUUACAGGGCUUGACAUUGAGUGAAAGAGCUAAGG